This is a long non-coding RNA of Platichthys flesus (European flounder), 1491 nucleotides long. RefSeq lists it as uncharacterized. The transcript has 2 exons. The record is from RefSeq and is a predicted model, not a curated record. Lineage: Eukaryota; Metazoa; Chordata; Actinopteri; Pleuronectiformes; Pleuronectidae.
CCUUUUUCCAGAAGCAAUGUUGUUAUUCCGGUUACUCAACGAGACAACAUCCAGGUUAUCACUCUUUAGACAGGCUGUGGUUAUCACACCGUGACACAGAGGAGUUCGCCCUACGGGGCCCUGACACGAGAGGAAGUCCGCUCACGUCCGCAAACACUACGCAUGCGCAUGUCAAUAAAGGUGUCAAAUCGAUCAUAAACAGCGAUUCUGUUAACAAGCGUGAGGCGAAUCAGCCGCGACGUAAAACAACGAGCCGCGUGAAAGACACACACACACACGCACACAUGUGAGGUUUACGUGAGAGUGAACGUUUCUCCAGGUCUACAGGUCCCUGCAGCUAACAGCAGGUUCGAUGCCAGCAGCUAACAGAGUAAACACAUGAACACAGCAACAUCCGUCUCUUACUCUGAGGACGUGGUAGCCUUCAGUUCCUCCUCCGGGGAUCUCGACGCUCUGAGAGAGCCCCAUGUUUCCCACGAAUGUGUGUGUGUGUGUGUGUGUUUGUGUGUGUCGGGGUGUCAGCAGCUGCGGGAAGCGGCUCUCCUCCAGAUCAUGUCCGUAUUGCAGCGCUGUGUUUCCGGCAUGUCCUGACUCCUGACCGCCUCCACUUCCGCUCCUGAGCAGCAGCAGCAGCAUCACUUCUCUGUGGCGGCUCAGUGGCGACAGGACGGGACUUCACUCCUCCUGGUUUAAUUAGAGACAGGUCUGAUCUUUCUUGUUUUGCACAGAUGGAUUGACAGCUGCCUCCAGGGCCCCCGAGCCCUCAGGGUACUUUUAUAUAGACAAUAAUGUCAGAAAAGUUUAGUCAAAUUCUGGUGAUUGUGCAUUUUCCUAAAUAUGUCUUUGUUGUGUUAUCAUCCAGUGACAGAGACUUCUCCGGAUGGAAAAUGAAACAGAGAUAAGAUAAGAUAAGAUACGAUAAGAUAAUUAAAAAAUGUAUUGAUCCACACAGUGAAAUUCAGAAUGGGGUAGACAGGAGAUAAAAAAAUGAUGUAUAUAAUAUGUUCAUAAUAUACACCUUUCACUGCUGCAAUAAUGUUAAAAAUCAUUGAGUUUAUGGAAGAGUAAUGUUCUUGAAACAGCUUUGCAGGGGCGCUUGCAAAGCUGUUUCACUGCCUAUGUACAGGCGACAUAGGCGGUGUUGCCAACUCCUCAGUAAGGAAAGUAGCUAUUGGCAUUGCAUAAUGUAGUGGUCGCUGUAGGACGUACAAAAAAUGCGAAAAAAAACACCCUAAAUAUGCUUAGAAAUAAGCGGAAGCAUAUUGCAUUCUCUUGAGAAAAAAAUAUAUAUCUCGGAAAUUCCGAGAUAAGUUCUCAAUAAAUAAAGAAACAUAACUUAUUUUAAUCCAAGUGAAUACAAUACGCUUCCGUAUUCUUCUCUCGAUUUUUUUUUUUUAUUUCUUGUCAUUGAAAUGCCAUCACUUCUCAAAGUAACUUCAUGACUGUAUUGCUGUAUCUGGACCCACAUACAUAAAUCAAUUUUGACCUGUA